UCGGUGUGCGGCAGGUGUAGCCCAGGACACACCCACGAGGCAAACUGCUGUCAGGCAGAAAGAGCAGCCUGUCAGUCUUCACAGAGCACCGCAGAGGGAGCACUAACAGCUUCCAGAGUUCCAGAGAAACAGAGAGGACUUCCCUGCUUCUCCAGACAAACUACGAGAGCUGAUAGAAGAUCACGUCCUAAAAUCACGCUUCACUGAGGAGCUACAGGGUUUGGCGUGUGAGGAGAACACAGAGAGAGGAGGACUGUGGAGGUUUGCUGUUCUGAGUGGAGAUCUGACCUUUCACCUCCAGCAGCUGCAGAGACAGACAGAGCAGGAGCUCAGAAACAUCCA
Molecule: long non-coding RNA, 342 nt
Organism: Notothenia coriiceps (black rockcod)
Lineage: Eukaryota; Metazoa; Chordata; Actinopteri; Perciformes; Nototheniidae
Exons: 3
Source: RefSeq, a predicted model, not a curated record